Molecule: ribosomal RNA, 253 nt
Filed under: uncultured bacterium
Lineage: Bacteria
Description: partial 16S ribosomal RNA
Rfam family: Bacterial small subunit ribosomal RNA
Source: RNAcentral
UACGAAGGUGGCAAGCGUUACUCGGAAUUACUAGGCGUAAAGGGCAGGUAGGUGGUUUGGUAAGUCUGUUGUGUAAGCUCCCGGCUUAACUGGGAGAGGUCAACAGAAACUGCCAGGCUUGAGUAUGGGAGAGGGUACUGGAAUUCCCGGUGUAGCGGUGAAAUGCGCAGAUAUCGGGAGGAACGCCAAUGGCGAGAGCAGGUACCUGGACCAGUACUGACACUCAGCUGCGAAAGCUAGGGGAGCAAACAGG